GCUCCUGCGGAGGAAGCAAGCUGAUGGCAGGCGAGCGGCCCAGGGAGGCAAGCCGAGGGAGAGCCGAGGCACCAGUUCCUGAGCAUUUCCUAGAAAACUACUCUUCGGUUUUCUGUCAAAACAGAGAGUAGCAGUGGAGGGACCAACCCCAGAGGACCUCUUCGGCGAAAGAAACUCUGACUUUGGGAGUUGCCCCAUUGGGAGGACGGCGCGCAACCCGUGGAGAGGCCCACACGGGUGGAUAGGAAGUGCUUCUGCCUCCUGCCAACAGCCUCUCGAGCAGGACUGGGAGCAGGUCCUCCACUGCCAGCUGAAUCUUGACGUGACUGCAGCAGCAGCCAACAGCUUGACCCGCCUUGAGCCCCAGGCCCUCAGGACUGUGCGGUCUGCUCACUUUUGCCAGAUUACUGCUACAUCCAACUCCAGCUCCAAGUUCAUGAAUUCAAGCGAUAGCUCUGCUGAUAAAUUCUUCAGUGGGUUUCACGUACCGUCUUUCUUCCAGCCUCCACAUACGGUACUCGGUACUCGUUUUGGAUUGUCUUCUCUUAACAUUGUUUAACCAUCUGUUAACCCAGCCUCCUGCCCAAGGGGCUUCGUGGGGAGGAAUGAUUUGAAGUUUCUGCCGAAGUGCUUUACAGUUGGGGAUAGUCCAUUAAUUGUUGAUUUUGUUUGUAUUCAGCAUUCUGCUUCUGUCUGUGGUUUUAAUUGAUGUGAACGUGCCCAGGGGCUUGUGCUGGA
Long non-coding RNA from Leopardus geoffroyi (Geoffroy's cat), 738 nucleotides. RefSeq lists it as uncharacterized. The record is from RefSeq and is a predicted model, not a curated record. NCBI's taxonomy places the organism in Eukaryota, Metazoa, Chordata, Mammalia, Carnivora, Felidae. The transcript is spliced from 3 exons.